AAAAAGUUCCUACAGUAAGCUUACGUAUACAAGCAAUCAGAUCUCUCAACGUUUCUCGAUAUAGCAUAUAACUGGGAAACGAAACGCAAUUCGAUGGUACUGCCGACUCAAACGAACAACGGAUAGUCGCGUUUUUCUCGACGGUUAGUGCCAUAGUAUAGAACCGUUUCGUCUCGUUGCAGUCCAGUAAUUCGAUGAAUUUCGAGUAUGAGAGGUACGUCGUAGCCGGGCGAGCCCUCAAUUAAGCGAAACGGUUCGUCGGCCAUGAGGAUGCGGCCUGAUGUUCGUGCGGACGAGAAGCAGUCGUAGCAGAGAAUCUGUCCCAAGCUCCUGCGCUCAACCUUUCUAUCUUCCUCGUUUCCCCUUCUCGAUCUACCCAUCUAUUCGUGUAUCUAUCCCGGUCUCUCUUCCCGGCUGUCUUAAAUUAGAAUUUCAGGUGAGUCGUUCUGAAAUCCGAUUCGACGACUCUACAUGCGACAGCGCGGAGCGGGGAUUCGUAAUCGAUCGCAGCUCGAGCUGCGUCGAAAGUGAGAGAAACGCAGAAAGUUGCUAAAAGUGGCCGGAUAAAAAGGGUGACAGAGACGGUGAAAGGGGCAGAAAGUUAGAGGAACGGAGUACGGAAGGAUUUGUAGAGGGCAAAAGAAAGAGCGAGAUAGAGAAGAUAACGAGAAGACUGAAAUUUAACGAAGAGAGCAGAUCUUUGUGCUAUGGAAAACGGCAUGCGAUUCGAGUGCUUAUUGGAUGUUCAAUAAUAAUACCUCUAAAGCGAGAGUCUGCUACGAAAAGUCAUACAGAUGAAUCCAUUAGCAGUCCUCGGACAAAAGUUACAAACUCGUCCUCCACCCUCCGUAAGACUACGCUCUACAACUCUUUAUCUUUAUUAAGAUAUCUUUUAAAACUUGUAACAACGACUAAUGGCAUUAUUAUCUGCUGUUUUACACAUCUAUUAAAUUAAUAAAAGAUGAAGAGAAGUAGCUUCAAGAAUUUCUUUGUAAAAAGUUGGGCAUUAAUUAUUAGAAAAAUUUCAACAAAGGAAUUUACAAUUCUAAAAAUUCUAUAGAAAAUUUCCUGAAUUCUAGCAGAAAAAUUAAAGUCCCAUGACAAAUUUCGAUAUCCCGACGCAAAAGUUCUGAAACGUUUUCGAAAUACCAAAUUUAUCUUCAGACAUCUCACAGAACAUGAUGUCAACGAGUUUUUCACUCUUGCGAGAAAGGAGGAAAAGUUCGCGUGAACAAGGUGUUUCAUGACCAUUUUCUACUUUCGUCCUGCGUUGCCGAGCCUAUCAACCAUUUAUAAAAAAUGAUAAGGAAGAACGACAGGCCCGGUCAGAUACAAAUUACCGGUAUGUUGCGUCAAGUUAGAUGGAAACUAGCCUUGGGAAUUGAGGGAGGCGCACAGGGAAAUCGCUAUACACCUUUUACCUCCAUCUACUGCAUCCUCCUUACUAAACAUUUAUCCUACGAGUGCCUGCCCUUUCUAGCUUUUCUGUAAUAGGACUAGCGUAACAUUGGUCAAGAACUGCAAGUUACUCCAAUCUCCUUAGUGAGUGUGUAUAUUCUGCUGUCAAACUCAUUAGGAUGCAGCAGCUACUCGAUCGAAACAUUGUUUCACGCCACUGCGACGAUUCUCCUUUUCGCUUAGCGUUCACUCUGCCCCAAAGGAGAGGAACGUUCGCGAAAGUCGUCGAAAACGUCGCGACGAUACAACGCGUAACGUAUCAACGACACCGACUAUUGAAACCCGAAGAAUAACAAAUAUAUCAGGUAUACGAGUUAUACAAAGUGUAUAGAAAUUAUACGUCACGAUUGUUUAUGACGGAAUUUUAUACGUAUGGCCUGGGUUAUGAAGAUGCAUU
Long non-coding RNA from Bombus pascuorum, 1855 nucleotides. RefSeq lists it as uncharacterized. NCBI's taxonomy places the organism in Eukaryota, Metazoa, Arthropoda, Insecta, Hymenoptera, Apidae. The transcript has 3 exons. The record is from RefSeq and is a predicted model, not a curated record.